ACGGAAGGCAGCAGUGAGGACUAUUGGUCAAUGGACGGAAGUCUGAACCAGCCAAGUCGCGUGAAGGAUGAAGGUAUUAUGUAUUGUAAACUUCUUUAGCCGUGGAGUAAUAAGGGGAUCGCGAUCCCUGAUGCCAGUACACUGAGAAUAAGGAUCGGCUAACUCCGUGCCAGCAGCCGCGGUAAUACGGAGGAUCCGAGCGUUAUCCGGAUUUAUUGGGUUUAAAGGGUGCGCAGGCGGCUUUUUAAGUCAGUGGUUAAAUCGUGACGCUCGACGUCAUCACGCCAUUGAUACUGGAGAGCUUGAUUGCGGUCGAGGUUUGCGGAAUUCGUUGUGUAGCGGUGAAAUGCAUAGAUAUGACGAAGAACACCGAUUGCGUAGGCAGCAGACCAGGCCGUAAAUGACGCUCAUGCACGAAAGUGCGGGGAUCGAACAGGAUUAGAUACCCUGGUA
RNAcentral lists this ribosomal RNA (453 nucleotides) under uncultured Porphyromonadaceae bacterium. RNAcentral's name for it is "partial 16S ribosomal RNA". It matches the Rfam family "Bacterial small subunit ribosomal RNA", at positions 341 to 792 of the family's 1533-position model. Lineage: Bacteria; Pseudomonadati; Bacteroidota; Bacteroidia; Bacteroidales; Porphyromonadaceae. The record is from RNAcentral.